RNAcentral lists this transfer RNA (72 nucleotides) under Deltaproteobacteria bacterium. Its description in RNAcentral is "tRNA-Val". It matches the Rfam family "tRNA". From Rfam's summary of the family: Transfer RNA (tRNA) molecules are approximately 80 nucleotides in length. Their secondary structure includes four short double-helical elements and three loops (D, anti-codon, and T loops). The record is from RNAcentral. Lineage: Bacteria; Pseudomonadati; Myxococcota; Myxococcia. RNAcentral also lists the same sequence under 3 other names.
GGGCGGUUAGCUCAGCGGGAGAGCAUCGGCCUUACAAGCCGGGGGUCGCUGGUUCGAUCCCAGCACCGCCCA